CAGUCGCCACGGGAAUACGGAGGGUGCAAGCGUUAAUCGGAAUUACUGGGCGUAAAGCGCGCGCAGGCGGUUUGUUAAGUCAGAUGUGAAAUCCCCGAGCUUAACUUGGGAACUGCAUUUGAAACUGGCAAGCUAGAGUCUUGUAGAGGGGGGUAGAAUUCCAGGUGUAGCGGUGAAAUGCGUAGAGAUCUGGAGGAAUACCGGUGGCGAAGGCGGCCCCCUGGACAAAGACUGACGCUCAGGUGCGAAAGCGUGGGGAGCAAACAGGAUUAGAUACCCCGGUAGUCCCUGUCUCUUAUAC
RNAcentral lists this ribosomal RNA (301 nucleotides) under uncultured bacterium. RNAcentral describes it as "partial 16S ribosomal RNA". It matches the Rfam family "Bacterial small subunit ribosomal RNA", at positions 509 to 807 of the family's 1533-position model. The record is from RNAcentral.